RNAcentral lists this ribosomal RNA (382 nucleotides) under uncultured bacterium. RNAcentral describes it as "bacterial SSU rRNA". It matches the Rfam family "Bacterial small subunit ribosomal RNA", at positions 30 to 412 of the family's 1533-position model. The record is from RNAcentral.
AUUGAACGCUGGCGGCAUGCUUUACACAUGCAAGUCGAACGGUAACAGGUCUUCGGAUGCUGACGAGUGGCGAACGGGUGAGUAAUGCAUCGGAACGUGCCCAGUCGUGGGGGAUAACGCAGCGAAAGCUGUGCUAAUACCGCAUACGAUCUAUGGAUGAAAGCGGGGGAUCGCAAGACCUCGCGCGAUUGGAGCGGCCGAUGUCAGAUUAGCUAGUUGGUGGGGUAAAGGGCCCACCAAGGCGACGAUCUGUAGCUGGUCUGAGAGGACGGACCAGCCACACUGGGGACUGAGACACGGCCCAGACUCCUACGGAGGCAGCAGUGGGGAAUUUUGGACAAUGGGCGCAAGCCUGAUCCAGCAAUGCCGCGUGCAGGAAGAA